UUACAGUAUACAUAAAAAUAGAUUCCGAAUAAAAAUCUAAAUAUUUUUAAAGUAGAUACUAGAAGAAAAUAUAAGAGAACAUCUUAAUAAAAUGAGGGUGAAGCAAAGUCUUUUGCAAAAGCAGAACUCUAAGGACAGAAGUCCAGAAAAGAUUAACCAACAGAUAUGAGAGCAAAACUUGAGGAAUGUUCUGUGCAAUAAAAGAUUAAAGCGUAAGAACUUCCAGGAUGGGCAAAAAUGUAUUCAUUUGUGUUUCUGUUUAUUAAUAACUGCAUUGUCUAAAAGAGGAUUUGGGGACACUUACAGCAAUGGAUAGAGAAUAGAAUAAAAUGUAAUACACAUGCACACAGAUGAAUGAAGGUGAAGGGAAAAAAUAUAUAUAGGAAGACAGAGUCAAUGAACAAAAUAUACUUCAUAAUACCCUAAACAAUGUUUUUAAACAAAGAGCAUCUUUUUCUUUGAGUUUCCUAGAAGCCAGAACAAAGAGGAAGACGGCAUUCAUUGGCCACUUCUCAGUGUCCAUAAGACAACAACUAAAGUGUUUAAGACACAUACAGAUUUCUGAUACUGACACUGGAAAGAAAUGUGUCUAGUAGGUCCCUUCUGUCUUUGGAAAUAAAAAGAGCAAUAAAUUAAAUCUAAUGCAAAGUGACAAAUUAUUUGUCAAAUUUAAUGUAGCCAUGUAUGGGGACAGAUGGUUAUUAGACUUCUGGUGAUCAUUUCAUAAUGUACGCAAGUGUCAAAUCAUUAUGCAGUACACCUGAAACUAACAUAAUAUUGUACACCAACUAUACUCCUCAAAAAAAAUGUAACGUAGCCACAUAAUGUCAAACAAGCCUUGUAGCUGUAGUGUUGAUACUUCCCAGACACUGGCAGGCCUUCACCUCUUGUAUCUACCAGGCCACUUUACUGGCUUUGACAAGAAACCCAACCGCACCAAGCAUUUAAUGAUUUUUGUAGAUACUGAGAUUUGAGGGGUCGCUGGGAAAGGUCACCCAGUCAAGGUCUUGCCACUUCGCUGCCCACUGUCCCCACCCCCUCCUUCUACUCUUUCUUGGCCCCUUCAUCCCCUCUCCCAGCCAACUCCACCCAUGCUCAAGUCUUCUUCCGUCCGCAGCUGUUUCCCUCCCUCUGGUCCUGGCACCAGCCAGUGGGCACCCUACCCGUGGAGCCAGCCAUUUACCCGAAGUGGGGUGGUGUAGCAUUUCCCCAUGAAAAUCUGGCCGCUCUCCAUCUUGUACACUAGGAUCGGGAAGCCAGUCUCUCCUUCCUCACUCCCUCCAUCUCCCGUCUGGCAAGGGAGAUGCUGACCAUGUCAGGGAAGUCCCUGCCCCUCCUUCCAGGCUGGUCGAUGCAGUUUGGGGUCUACGUGACAGAGGGUUCAUCAGCCUAAGCAUCUCUUUAUAUAGUUAGCUCUCAGCUCCAGCACUGGUUUUAUAAAUAAAUUUCUUAUUUUAAUUAUGAACCUGCACAGUGGAAGGAGAUGAUUAAACGAAGAGAAAUCUGAAAUCACUUCUGAUCUGGGCGAAGUAAACAAGUGCCUAUUUCCAAGACUGUUCUGCAAAUAGAACACAGACGUGACAUAAAGGACACUCGUCAGAUCUCCCCCUCCCCUGCGCUGUUGUUGUUCUUGAUGUCUGAAGAUGAUUUCUUUUUUCGUUCUUUGCUUUAGUUACGAGGAUCCUGACAAGUGCCUGCUUCUCUAUGGUGAUGAUCAGGGAUGUGUGAACAUUCUGUUUUUGGCUUCUGUCGGUGAACUAUUAAGACCCAAGAUGGCAACUGUGUACCAGGCAUAGGGCGGCCAGGGCCCUUCAGAAGGCAUAACCAUUGGAAUGAGUAUCUGGUGGAGCCGCCUCUCUUGAGAGGAGAUGGACAUGGUUGGUAAAUAUGAGCGCUAAGUACUCAGAAGUCUAAGCAGAUGAAAGUCCAGAGUCCAAAGAUCAUACCCCUAACUGAAAAACCAAGAAGAAGCCGUGCAAACGUGCUAUUUAGAGCAUGGAAUAGAUACCAAAUGACCAUCUAAAAGAAGGAAGCGUGGAGGCCUUCGGGGAUAGAAAGGAAGAAAGGGGUCCAGCUUCUUGCAGAACUGUUUGACUCUUCAAGCAACUGCAGGUCACUUAGAUUAAAAUAAAAAUAAAUUUUAAAAAAAGGAAAAGAAAAACAAGCAAAACUUCCAAAAAAAAAUUCCAGAUUUUCAACUAUUUGAAGAUGACUAUUAAGUUUUCCCUUCUCCCAGGUAAACUGUUCUGGUUUUCUUAACUGUCCUUCAUCCGACCUCAUUUCAAGAUAUCUUGUCAUCCUGGCAUCUCUUCUGGACAAUGUCCCAAGUGCUCAGAACUGAGUACCACAAGGUAUCACACAGCCCACCAAUGCUUGACCCACUGGCAUAUUACAAUAACCCCCACUUUAAAGCCAUGUAUUCCUCAUCCUUUCCUUAUAAAUUAAUAUUCUGAACCUGAAUCCAGGGCUUUCAUUCUUACUAAACUUCAUUUCAUUGAUUUUUUUUUUCAUCCUUAUCGUAUUUGGUUAAAAUAAUUUUAAAUUCUGAUAA
Orcinus orca (killer whale) is the source of this 2551-nucleotide long non-coding RNA. RefSeq lists it as uncharacterized. NCBI's taxonomy places the organism in Eukaryota, Metazoa, Chordata, Mammalia, Artiodactyla, Delphinidae. The transcript has 3 exons. The record is from RefSeq and is a predicted model, not a curated record.